UGAGUGCAUGUGAUCCUGCUCUUUUGGUGU
RNAcentral lists this non-coding RNA (30 nucleotides) under Homo sapiens (human). Lineage: Eukaryota; Metazoa; Chordata; Mammalia; Primates; Hominidae. The record is from RNAcentral.